GACGAACGCUGGCGGCGUGCUUAACACAUGCAAGUCGAACGGAAAGGCCUCUUUCGGGUGGUGCUCGAGUGGCGAACGGGUGAGUAACACGUGAGUAACCUGCCCUUGACUUUGGGAUAACUUUAGGAAACUGUGGCUAAUAUCGGAUAGAGGCUCCUGCUGCAUGGUGGGGGGUGGAAAGUUUCGGCGGGUGGGGGUGGGAUCGCGGCGUAUCAGCUUUUUGGGGGGGGAGUGGCGUAUCAAGGGCUUGUCGGGUGUCCGGCCCGGGAGGGGGAACGGCCACCAUUGGAACGGAAUAAGGCCCAGACCUCCAAGGGGGGGAGCCGGGGGGAAUAUUGAAAAAAGGGUGGGAACCCGAUGGAGCAAAGCCGUGGGCGGGAUGAAGGCCUUCGGGUUGGAAACCGCCUUCGCUCAUGACGAAGCUUUGUGUGACGGUAGUGGGUAAAGAAGCACCGGCUAACUACGUG
Molecule: ribosomal RNA, 467 nt
Filed under: uncultured bacterium
Lineage: Bacteria
Description: partial 16S ribosomal RNA
Rfam family: Bacterial small subunit ribosomal RNA
Source: RNAcentral